AUACGAAGGGGGCUAGCGUUGUUCGGAAUUACUGGGCGUAAAGCGCGCGUAGGCGGACUGAUCAGUUGGGGGUGAAAUCCCAGGGCUUAACCCUGGAACUGCCUCCAAUACUGUCAGUCUUGAGUUCGGGAGAGGUGAGUGGAAUUCCUGGUGUAGAGGUGAAAUUCGUAGAUAUUAGGAAGAACACCAGUGGCGAAGGCGGCUCACUGGCCCGAUACUGACGCUGAGGCGCGAAAGCGUGGGGAGCAAACAGGAUUAGAUACCCUAGUAGUCC
Molecule: ribosomal RNA, 274 nt
Filed under: uncultured bacterium
Lineage: Bacteria
Description: partial 16S ribosomal RNA
Rfam family: Bacterial small subunit ribosomal RNA
Source: RNAcentral